CUACGGGUUGCACCAGUGGGGGAUAUUGCACAAUGGGGGAAACCCUGAUGCAGCAACGCCGCGUGAAGGAAGACGGAUUUCGGUCUGUAAACUUCUAUCAGCUGGGAAGAAAAUGACGGUACCAGACUAAGAAGCCCCGGCUAACUACGUGCCAGCAGCCGCGGUAAUACGUAGGGGGCAAGCGUUAUCCGGAUUUACUGGGUGUAAAGGGUACGUAGGCGGUUAUUUAAGUCAGAUGUGAAAGCCCGGAGCUCAACUCCGGGACUGCAUUUGAAACUGGGUAACUAGAGUACAGGAGAGGAAAGCGGAAUUCCUAGUGUAGCGGUGAAAUGCGUAGAUAUUAGGAAGAACACCAGUGGCGAAGGCGGCUUUCUGGACUGUAACUGACGCUGAGGUACGAAAGCGUGGGGAGCGAACAGGAUUAGAUACCCGCGUAGUC
This 439-nucleotide ribosomal RNA is filed under the name uncultured bacterium. RNAcentral describes it as "partial 16S ribosomal RNA". It matches the Rfam family "Bacterial small subunit ribosomal RNA", at positions 339 to 795 of the family's 1533-position model. The record is from RNAcentral.